Molecule: unclassified non-coding RNA, 301 nt
Filed under: Glomeraceae sp.
Lineage: Eukaryota; Fungi; Glomeromycota; Glomeromycetes; Glomerales; Glomeraceae
Description: partial contains 5.8S ribosomal RNA and internal transcribed spacer 2
Rfam family: 5.8S ribosomal RNA (bases 1-65)
Source: RNAcentral
GUGAAUCAUCGAAUUUUUGAACGCAAAUUGCACUCUCCUCGGAGAGUAUGCCUGUUUGAGGGUCAGCCUAUAAAAAUCGACAUCGUUGCUGUUUUAUGGUGACUUUCGUCGGAGAUGGGUUAUCUUGAAUCUCGGUUUAAGCGACUUAAAAAUUUUUUUACGAUUCUAAGAAUGUUUCUAAGAUUUUUCUUGUACGUUUAAGGUAUCUAAUGUCUUAUUAGACGUGGCUGUCAUAUCGGAUCGUGUCCAUACUUUUUUUCGUUAACUGACCUCAGACAGUUACGAGUACCCGCUGAACUUU